UUCUAAGUGAAGUAAUUCAGUUUUCAGGUGAAGAUGAGUUGACCGAAGUGCAUGUGGCUGAUCCAGCUGUUGCACCCUCCAUCCAGUAUAACUUUUGUGCCGUUGCCUUUGGUGCAACCCCUUGACAUGAAACCACAGUUCUUCCAAUAAGCAGAGUGAAUGUGAACACAUGUUGGCAGAACUGUGCCAUUUACAAAGGAAGUGGUGAGAUAUUACUGAGGAAAAGCUAGACAAUGCUGCACCAGCAAUCUGAUCCCGCUCAUUCUUUCUCCAAAAUGUAGUUUCCAACUCUGCAGGAGUAGUGGCUGUGAAAUACAUGGGAAAGAGUUUGAAAAGUAUGUAUC
RNAcentral lists this long non-coding RNA (344 nucleotides) under Homo sapiens (human). RNAcentral describes it as "HSALNT0019770". The record is from RNAcentral. Lineage: Eukaryota; Metazoa; Chordata; Mammalia; Primates; Hominidae.